CCUACGGGGGGCAGCAGUGGGGGAUAUUGCACAAUGGGGGAAACCCUGAUGCAGCGACGCCGCGUGGGUGAAGAAGCGCCUCGGCGCGUAAAGCCCUGUCAGCAGGGAAGAAAAUGACGGUACCUGAAGAAGAAGCCCCGGCUAACUACGUGCCAGCAGCCGCGGUAAUACGUAGGGGGCAAGCGUUAUCCGGAUUUACUGGGUGUAAAGGGGGCGCAGACGGCGAUGCAAGCCAGGAGUGAAAGCCCGGGGCCCAACCCCGGGACUGCGCGUGGAACUGCGUGGCUAGAGUGCAGGAGGGGCAGGCGGAAUGCGUGGUGUAGCGGUGAAAUGCGUAGAUAUCAGGAGGAACACCGGUGGCGAAGGCGGCCUGCUGGACUGCAACUGACGUUGAGGCCCGAAAGCGUGGGGAGCAAACAGGAUUAGAUACCCCAGUAGUC
This 440-nucleotide ribosomal RNA is filed under the name uncultured bacterium. RNAcentral describes it as "partial 16S ribosomal RNA". It matches the Rfam family "Bacterial small subunit ribosomal RNA", at positions 338 to 795 of the family's 1533-position model. The record is from RNAcentral.